UACGGAGGAUGCAAGCGUUAUCCGGAAUGAUUGGGCGUAAAGGGUCCGCAGGGGGCAGUGUAAGUCUGCUGUCAAAGAAUGAGGCUUAACCUCAUCAAGGCAGUGGAAACUACACAGCUAGAGUACGGUCGGGGUAGAAGGAAUUCCUGGUGUAGCGGUGAAAUGCGUAGAGAUCAGGAAGAACACCGGUGGCGAAAGCGUUCUGCUAGACCUGUACUGACACUGAGGGACGAAAGCUAGGGGAGCGAAUGGG
RNAcentral lists this ribosomal RNA (253 nucleotides) under uncultured bacterium. RNAcentral's name for it is "partial 16S ribosomal RNA". It matches the Rfam family "Bacterial small subunit ribosomal RNA", at positions 524 to 776 of the family's 1533-position model. The record is from RNAcentral.